AUGCAGGUUCUAUUUUAUUGUUCUGAGACAUAUGAUGAUAGCAUUGAGAAUAAGAAAUCUUUGCAAAAUGCACGCAUUAUUAAGGAGUUCUGGAACGAUUACUACGCUAAGUUGUUGGAUAUUGACAAAACGAAAAAGACUUCUAAUGUUGAUAUUUAUCAGGAUGAUGUUAGAAAGUUGUUGAUUAAUGAAAAGAAGAAUCAAAAUGGUGUGUUUUCUGAUACUGAAUUAAUAGAUUUACAGAAUCAAAUUGCAAAUUGCACAAUGAAGUUCGAUGAGGAUAAUCUAUUUAAAGUAACUCCUAACAUAGUAAAGUUCUUGAUUAAUAAAGAUCAGCCUAACGCUCAGCAAUAUCUAAAGGGUUGCCUACCAAGUAGCUUACCUAUGCUUAAGAUGUUUGGUAUCUAUACGCUUGAGGCUAUCAUGAUUCAUGUACUAGGCUUGGUAUUCAACACUCUUCAGGAAUCAUCCGCAGUUAAGGUAGCUAGAUUUAUAGAUCAACUUAAUUCAGCUGUACGAGAACAAGCAAGGUUUCUACAAUACAAAGCACCAGGUAGUGGUAAGGUGGAAGCAGUACUCACUAGUAAGGUAGAAUUAGUUAAGGAUGUUGUUCAGCCCAAAGGUGCUAGCAAAAAAGAGAAAAAGAAAAAAAAAAUCAGUGUCAUUAUGAUAUCGGGAAAUACUUGCUCCAAUUCAUGA
RNAcentral lists this ribosomal RNA (699 nucleotides) under Triticum aestivum (bread wheat). RNAcentral's name for it is "partial small subunit ribosomal RNA". The record is from RNAcentral. Lineage: Eukaryota; Viridiplantae; Streptophyta; Magnoliopsida; Poales; Poaceae.